RNAcentral lists this transfer RNA (72 nucleotides) under Ovis aries (sheep). It matches the Rfam family "tRNA". From Rfam's summary of the family: Transfer RNA (tRNA) molecules are approximately 80 nucleotides in length. Lineage: Eukaryota; Metazoa; Chordata; Mammalia; Artiodactyla; Bovidae. The record is from Rfam by way of RNAcentral.
UCCCUGGUGGCUCAGACGGUAAAGCAUCUGCCUACAAUGUAGGAGACCCAGGUUCGAUCCCUGGGUCGGGAA